This 128-nucleotide ribosomal RNA is filed under the name Castor canadensis (American beaver). The record is from RNAcentral. Lineage: Eukaryota; Metazoa; Chordata; Mammalia; Rodentia; Castoridae.
GUCUAUGGCCAUACCACCCUGAACGUGCCCAAUCUCAUCUGACCUUGGAAGCUAAGCAGGGUCGUGCCUGGUUAGUACUUGCAUGGGAGAGGAUGAAAAAUGAUUCACCAAGCAAGAUGAAGUUGAAA